Molecule: ribosomal RNA, 457 nt
Filed under: uncultured bacterium
Lineage: Bacteria
Description: bacterial SSU rRNA
Rfam family: Bacterial small subunit ribosomal RNA
Source: RNAcentral
GAUGAACGCUGGCGGCGUGCCUAAUACAUGCAAGUCGAACGAAUCUUCUUCGGAAGAUGAGUGGCGAACGGGUGAGUAAUACAUAGGUAACCUGCCCCUGUGCGGGGGAUAACAGGAGGAAACUCCUGCUAAUACCGCAUAGCCAUGAGCACCGCAUGGAGCUCAUGCCAAAUAUCCUUUCGGGGAUAGCGCAGGGAUGGACCUAUGGCGCAUUAGCUUGUUGGCGGGGCAACGGCCCACCAAGGCAACGAUGCGUAGCCGGCCUGAGAGGGCGGACGGCCACAUUGGGACUGAGACACGGCCCAGACUCCUACGGGAGGCAGCAGUAGGGAAUUUUCGGCAAUGGGGGAAACCCUGACCGAGCAACGCCGCGUGAGCGAAGAAGGCCUUCGGGUCGUAAAGCUCUGUUGUAAAGGAAGAACGGCGCAUACAGGAAAUGGUAUGCGAGUGACGGUAC